CCUACGGGAGGCAGCAGUGAGGAAUAUUGGUCAAUGGGCGAGAGCCUGAACCAGCCAAGUCGCGUGAAGGAUGACGGCCCUACGGGCUGUAAACUUCUUUUGUCAGGGAGCAAUUGGGUCCACGCGUGGGCUUAGCGAGAGUACCUGAAGAAAAAGCAUCGGCAAACUCCGUGCCAGCAGCCGCGGUAAUACGGAGGAUGCGAGCGUUCUCCGAAUUGAUUGGGUUAAAAGGGUGCGUAGGCGGAAUAUCAAGUCAGCGGUAAAGAUUCGGGGCUCAACCCCGUCGUGCCGUUGAAACUGAUGUUCUUGAGUGGGCGAGAAGUAUGCGGAAUGCGUGGUGUAGCGGUGAAAUGCAUAGAUAUCACGCAGAACUCCGAUUGCGAAGGCAGCAUACCGGCGCCCAACUGACGCUGAAGCACGAAAGCGUGGGUAUCGAACAGGAUUAGAUACCCGAGUAGUC
RNAcentral lists this ribosomal RNA (460 nucleotides) under uncultured bacterium. RNAcentral describes it as "partial 16S ribosomal RNA". It matches the Rfam family "Bacterial small subunit ribosomal RNA", at positions 338 to 795 of the family's 1533-position model. The record is from RNAcentral.